RNAcentral lists this transfer RNA (102 nucleotides) under Candidatus Woesearchaeota archaeon. RNAcentral's name for it is "tRNA-Phe". It matches the Rfam family "tRNA". Rfam says of the family: Transfer RNA (tRNA) molecules are approximately 80 nucleotides in length. Lineage: Archaea; Nanobdellati; Candidatus Woesearchaeota. The record is from RNAcentral.
GGGGCGGUAGCUCAGCCUGGGUAAAUUCAGGCUUGCCUGUGUUCAGGAUAGAGCACACGGCUGAAGACCGUGGUGUCAUGGAUUCAAAUUCCAUCCGCCCCA